RNAcentral lists this ribosomal RNA (493 nucleotides) under Spurostigma sp. 3.2.2004.15. RNAcentral's name for it is "partial 16S ribosomal RNA". Lineage: Eukaryota; Metazoa; Arthropoda; Insecta; Psocodea; Spurostigmatidae. The record is from RNAcentral.
UCUUAAAGUGUAAUAUUUUAAGUUCAAUCUGCUCACUGAAAUAUUUUAAAGAGCCGCAGUAUUUUAACUGUGCAAAGGUAGCAUAAUCAAUAGUUUUUUAAUUGAAAACUGGAAUGAAAGAUUAGACGAGAAAUUAACUUUUUUUAUUAUUUAAAUUGAAUUUAAUUUUUAAGUUAAAAAUCUUAAAUAAAAUUAAGGGACGAGAAGACCCUAUAGAUUUUUAUAUAUUAAUGUAUAAAUUAGGUUGUAUUUAUAUAGAGAUAUAUUUAAUUGGGGCGAUUUUGUAAAAUAAAUAACUUAAAUAUGUGAAACCAUGAAUGAUUGAAUAUUCUGAUCUAAAAUUUUUAAAUAAAAGAGUAAAUUACCUUAGGGAUAACAGGGUAAUUUUUUUUAAGAGUUCAUAUUUAAAGAAAAGCUUACUACCUCGAUGUUGAAUUAAGAUUAUGUGUUGGAGUAGAAGAUAACAUAAUUAGUCUGUUCGACUAUUAAAUUC